UCUGAUAACUGUAUGUAUGAAAGUGGAAAAACCAUUCGGAGCAAGAUUCAGAGGAAACCAUUUGACCUAUAUAAAAUGUAAAUUCUGUGUUGUUAUAUUUUAAUUAUCUGCCAUUCUUUAAUGCAACUUUAGUUCUCUGUAUUCUCUUUUAAAGGAGAUUUUUUUUCAUUCAGGAUCAGAGAAAGCUGUAUUUUCUCAAAUGUUGAUGUGUUUAGAAAUUCCUGGCCUCUGUGCCCAGUUGCAAGCCAUCCAAAAUGACAUUGUUCAUUUUAUUUACGUUUUUGCAAAUAAUUGCCCUGUGUCAUGAACCUUCCCAUGUCUGCUCAUCAGAGAUAAGGAGAAGAUCCUCUUGAGCCCUCCCAUAAACACACACACAGAGUCAGGCUCCUUCAACAUGGGGACAUCCCUUCAAGAAUUUGCAUUUUCUCCUGCAGAAAGUCCAGAACUUUCUUCUCUCCCACCUACAUCCAGUCUUCUUAAAACAGAUUUCUGGCUAGGCGCAGUGGCUCACACCUAUAAUCCCAGCACUUUGGGAGGCUGAGGCGGGUGGAUCGCCUGAGGUCAGGAGUUCGAGACCAGCCUG
This 583-nucleotide long non-coding RNA is filed under the name Homo sapiens (human). RNAcentral describes it as "HSALNT0049123". The record is from RNAcentral. Lineage: Eukaryota; Metazoa; Chordata; Mammalia; Primates; Hominidae.